GCUGGGCGUGGUGGCGCAUGCCUGUAAUCCCAGCUACUCGGGAGGCUGAGGCACGAGAAUCACUUGAACCCAGGAGGUGGAGGUUGCAUUGAGCUGAGAUCACAGCUUUGCACUCCAGCCUGGGUGAUAGAGUGAGACUCUGUCUCAA
This 148-nucleotide non-coding RNA is filed under the name Gorilla gorilla gorilla (western lowland gorilla). The record is from Rfam by way of RNAcentral. Lineage: Eukaryota; Metazoa; Chordata; Mammalia; Primates; Hominidae.